This 75-nucleotide transfer RNA is filed under the name Bacteroidales bacterium. RNAcentral's name for it is "tRNA-Pro". It matches the Rfam family "tRNA". Rfam says of the family: Transfer RNA (tRNA) molecules are approximately 80 nucleotides in length. Their secondary structure includes four short double-helical elements and three loops (D, anti-codon, and T loops). Lineage: Bacteria; Pseudomonadati; Bacteroidota; Bacteroidia; Bacteroidales. The record is from RNAcentral.
CGGGGCAUAGCGCAGUCCGGUUAGCGUGUCUGCUUUGGGAGCAGAAGGUCGUGAGUUCGAAUCUCACUGCCCCGA